CAAAUAAGUUUUUAUCCGCAUUCAAGAACCUACAAACCCAACGAACUUGUAUCUUUAAACAUAUUUUAAGUGGUGUAUGCUAACAUAUCUAAUCCCAGUCCUUUGAUGUCAUCUUUGGAUGGAAGGACAAAUGACGGAUUUGUGUGUGAUUUCUAUAAGCAUUUCAAAUUCACUCUAAAAUAAAAUUUUUGUCAAUAUUCAUUAACCUAGCCAACAUCCAUGAAAUAAUAAAAAGACUGUUAUAACAAAAAUCAAAUCUAAUGAUUUUAAGUUCCUUCACACAAACCCAUGGUAGUUUAAAAUCCCAAUCCAUCUAUUUACAACUUCUAAUUAACUUAGAAUUAGCAAAAUUCCUAAUAUG
Molecule: unclassified non-coding RNA, 361 nt
Filed under: Hevea brasiliensis (rubber tree)
Lineage: Eukaryota; Viridiplantae; Streptophyta; Magnoliopsida; Malpighiales; Euphorbiaceae
Source: RNAcentral